This is a long non-coding RNA of Neltuma alba, 1741 nucleotides long. RefSeq lists it as uncharacterized. Lineage: Eukaryota; Viridiplantae; Streptophyta; Magnoliopsida; Fabales; Fabaceae. The record is from RefSeq and is a predicted model, not a curated record. The transcript is spliced from 3 exons.
GAGAGAGAGAGAGAGAGAGAGAGAGAGAGAGGAUGGAGGCCUGGUCGUGAUAAUGAUAAAUUUAGUUGCUAGGUGUCAAUGAGCCAUUGAGCCCUCUCAUGGCUGCUUCCCGUUUCUCAGUGGACAGAGUACCAGCUCUUAACGCCCUCUUUCACGCUGGAAGCCUGCCUCGAUCUGCUACUGAAUGUGCCUUCUCUGAGCAAUCGUGAUUUUUCUCGCCGUUUUGGCUCAGUACAAUUGAUUCUGAUAAUGGUUCAUCAGGUCAGAGAAUCUGGCUACGUGUUGCAUGAGUUUACGGGAUAGAUGGAAGAAAACCACGCUGAAUGGGGAAAAGGCGAGAAAGAAACGGAAAGAAAGCAUCGAAACAUGAUUUUCAACUGAUUUUGGGGGUUGAAUCUUUCAUAUCCUUUUUCUCCUGGCCCCUCCUUCUACUAGACUCUCCUUUUUCUUCUCAUGCUCCUUCUCCGGCCGAUUUCGUUGGUAUCUGUUUUCUUUCCGGUUGUAUAGUGAAAAACCCUAAAAUUUUCAAAUAAGCUCUUGCUCUAGGUAUUAUUUGAAGUAAGCGAGAGAUCCUAGAUUUGCCUAUUUUUCUUGUUCCAAUUAUUUUUCGCAUUUGUUCUUUUUGGUUUUUCCCGGCCUCCUUUCCUCAGAUCUGAUUCAAUUAUAAGUGUCUUUCCAUCGAUUUUUCAAGAGCACUCGUUUUUCCCUCGGCGUUUCCUUAUUUGGGCAGGCCUUCGUAUUUUCCUGAUCUCGACUCCUAUAGCUUAUUUCAUAUGACAUAGAAAUUGACAGAAGAGAGUGAGCACACAGAGGCACUCGGUAUUGUUUCAUACUGAUGCUUUUGCGUGCUCAUUCUCUUUCUGUCAGCUUCCAGUGCUGGAAAUGAGUCUCACUGCUAUUUCUGGUUUCUGAAUCCUUCUCGGUUUGAUUCUUUCCUCAUUAUGUAUCCUUUCUUAGCAAUUGGAUGGAUCCUCAGCUGAAAGCAUGAAAGAUCAUUGGUGAGAAAUGAGAAUGAGGAGGUUAUCAUUAUCCAACAGUGUAAAGCAGUUGGUGAAGAUACCCGAGUAGCCCUGUGCAGAUUAAGCAGCCAAAUUAGCGCAUAGCUUGGGACCAUUUCACGUUAUAGUAUGGUCCUCACAAUUUUAUCUUACCGAUGCUUUGCAGGCAUCAUCGUCAUCAUCCUCAUUAUCGUUUUCUUCCACGCACAUUUUUUUUAAAAUAAUUGCUGCGCAUGCGAUGCAGUUGGUUUGCUGUUUGUUCUCACCUGAGUCAUGGCUAGAUUCUGCCUUCUGCUUCAUAUCUGAACAUAUUUAUUUCAGGAGUAACAAAAUAUUCGAGCUCAAUUAUUGAACAGUAAAGAGUGUGAAAAGCGGCAAAGUCGCGGUGACCAAAGAGGAAAGCGAGCGCAAACGAAUGGUCGAGCCGGGCGAGCAAAGCAGUUUUCCUGUUCUGACAUAUUUCUGAGAAUCGUAAUUGAAGUGAUCCUAUUAUAUGUAACAUUAAUAUUUUGCUCUUGGACUGUUGCUUCUGCGGCUCCGCUUUUAUAUUACUCAUAAUAGUAAAGAAGUUACAAAAGGCAUGUAUUCAAUAGCAAAGGCUGGACCUGGAUGUUUCAAUAGCAAAGGCAUGCAUCCGUACUGCUUGUAAAUCUAAGAAGAGAUAUAACUAGAAUUUAGUAGUUAAUACGUUGCGAUAUUGCUAAUUACUAACAAUAAAUUGUCGCUAAUGCCUGAUUAUUGGA